UUCCUUCAAAAGUAUGUAGACAACAGCUGGUGCUACUUGAAGUCACCCAUAAGGACAAGGAUGGCUAUUCUAGAGGUGUCCCUUAAUUCCUUAAAGAGUAAUCCAUCCUGUCUGGGUGGCCUAUAACAGACUCUCUCAGUGACAUCCACUUUCUUUCCUUGUCCCUUAAUCCUUACCCACAGGCUCUCAACCAUGGCACUGCCAACUGCAAGCUCUGUACAGCCCAACCCCUACCUCAUGCACAGAACUGCUCUUCCUACCAGAUUUUGCUUAUCACAAUGAUGCUGUAGAUCUGGGACUGAGCUAAGGCUUCUUGCUCCUCUUGUUUGUUCAUCUUUCUGCACGCAUUGGUGCAGAAACAUUUCAAAUAUGCUUUGUUGUACCAAGCACCUCAUGGAGCAGAAUGAAGGAUCUCACUAGCACACAGCCCCUUGAAUUCUGCAGCGCCAUCCGUCCUGAUCCAAUAAACCUGCUUCCCAGAAGGAACUAGUUAGAUUGGGCACAGAAACAUUCUGGGAGUCCACAAAUUCUGGCAGAAAGCUUCACUGUGACAUAGAAAUGUAUUUAUAAUGAAGAAAACUGGAGCUGCAUAGGAUGGUCUGUGUUACAGAAGGAGUUAUGCUCAGUCCCCUUGAAGAGCCUGGAUGCUGCUUUGACAUUAGAACAAGGAUUGUGACAGAGUGUGACCUUGCAAACAGAACCCCUGAGUUUGUUAUGGCAACAGGGCUGUUAUGAAGUCAGCUAACAACAGAAUCUCCUGCAAUCAUAGUGUUCUUUGGGACAGCUGAUUUCAAGUUUUCUAUAUGGAAAUCUUGUGAAGAGAAGAACAUCCCUGGAGAUACUUUGAUGUCAGUGGAAGACUCUCAUGUUCAGAAAGGAUCUCUGUUUGCCGAAGACCAGGAAAUAUAAGGAGAUUUGGAAGAAUUCAGCAAUCUAGAGCAACUCAUACAUUCCUUCCAAACAACUGUGGAAAAACUAGAGGAGAAAGCAAAAAAUGUGGAACUUAUAUUACAGGAAGCCCAGAAUAACGAUAACAAGAAGCAGUAGCAAGUAAAGAUACAGGGAGCCAUGAGAGACAUGCCAACAUCAUCUGUCAUCUCAGACAAUACAACUGAGAACAUGGAUGCUGAGAGUCAUAUGGCACACUUGGAUGUGAAGGGAAGAACCUGUGCUUUGCAGUUAGAAGUAUCCACCAAUGUGGAGGAGCUGUAAAAGCUUUGCUGCAAGCGGGUCACAGCUGCUGACAUUGAACUUGAGAGGGUAUGGUGGAAUUUUGUGCUGACUAGGCUGAAAUAUGAACAUGAGGAUAAUUACAAACAAAGGCUUCAUGAAGAGAGAAUGGUGCAGGUUCAUCAACAGGUCGUUAAAAGAUCAGUAAGCAGGAAAAAGAGACAGGGUUGAAUCCAAUAGAGAUUGAAAUAUUCGAUUUCUGUGUUAAGCACUUCGGAAAGUUUUAUUCUUUUGUGUGUUGAGUAGUACUGUCACUUCUUUUAAAGUUAGGCUUCAGAAGGUGAUCCUUAAAGCUUGUACAUGUACUUACAGAGAUGGGUUCUUCUCCCUAGAACAUGAACAAUAGUAACAUUCACUGCAACAAAAAAUAUUAAAGAACAGCUCACUCACAAAUUAAGUUCAUGAAGUAAGGAUCCACAAACACUUUUUUUUUCUUAUUCUUUCCCCCUGAAUGACAGAGUUCUUGACCUGAAUGCCACAUUAGUCAUUGUAGAAGUUUCCUGCCUCUACAGUAGGAUCAAUUUCCUGAGUUACAUUUGGAUGAUUCAGAGAGGAAAUGCAUGAGUAAAUGCAUAGAUGAAAAAAUCCAUCAAAACAAUACAACCAAUCAGUUUUUCAAGACUGCUUUUUACAGAAGUAGCUGAAGUUAUCAUAUGUUCAAUAUUUAUUCUGUUGUUAAUAGCAGUCCAGUCUGAAAGACAUCACUUGGCAGUUUAGCAAACAGGACAGCUACAAAUCCUGGUUGUCAGGGCUUUCCCUGAGAAACCUCCUACUGUCAUUGGAUUGAGUUAGAGAAUAAACAGAGUAUCUGGAUUUAAAUCACACGUUUUAGAGGUACUCAUACGUUUGUCUUCACUUGCAUGUUCUGUGCUUUAAAUCAGGACAGAAUAGAAGGAUGUUUUAUGCAGUAUUCAUAGCACUUGUGUUGUACAUAGCUCAGGUCAUGUGCAAGAAUGGCACUCCGGUAAGCUCCAUAGAAUCCCUAAAAUUUUCUAGUGUCAAUUAAGAGAAAUACAGAUGAAGUUCUGUUUUGCUAUUGUGUUCUUUUUCAUU
Long non-coding RNA from Numida meleagris (helmeted guineafowl), 2283 nucleotides. RefSeq lists it as uncharacterized. The transcript has 3 exons. Lineage: Eukaryota; Metazoa; Chordata; Aves; Galliformes; Numididae. The record is from RefSeq and is a predicted model, not a curated record.